GAAGGCGGGCUGAGCCCGGCGCCGGGAGGAGUGGUCUAAACUCCACCGCGGCUUUCGCAUCGGUAAAGCCGGCAGCGGAAAUUUGAAGGAGGAAGCGGGGAGACGUGUCUUUAGGAAGCAGAGAGGGUUCGAUUCUGGACUCCGCCCAUGACUCACUUCUCUUGUAAAGAAAGAGUUGUCCUUCCUGGUACUCCAGGUACCCUACUGUUUUCUUAUGGACUUUGCCCUUAACGAGUCUCCUUUCCUUCUGUUACUCUCAACCUUUCCUUCUCUACCGGCUCUUUCUUACUGGUAUUUAAACAUGCUUAAGUCUUUCAAUUCUUUAAAAAGAUUUCUCUUCUCCCUAAAUUGCUCUCCAACAACUGCAGCUGUCUCUUACCCCAUGGACAGUCUUUCAUGUCCCACCUCCCAGCCCUCUCCAGUGUCCCCACCGCUCACCUGAAGUGGCUCUGAAUUGUCCACAGACAAGCUUCAUGACUGUAAAUGCAGCGGAUCAUUUUCAGUCCUCAUUUUACAAGCCCUCAUCCCAGUAUUUGACGCGAUUGACCACAGUUGCUUCCAAAUACCCUCUUCCCUCUGGUCUUAUGUCCCAGGUUUCCUCCCUACCUGAGUUUGCUCUUUAACAACCAGCUCCUCCUUGAUCUACCUCUUACACAUUGGAAUCAUGCUGAGCUGAACCCUGGCCCUCUUACUGAGUCUCCCCAUACACUUUCCUAGGUGGUCUUAUGCUCUCCCAGCAGCAUCAAAUACCCUCUGUCAAAGACUCUUCAAUCCAUAACUCAAGCCUAGAUCUUGCUCUGGAAUCCUACAUUCAUAGUUCCCAGCAUACUGCCUUUGGUACACUUUCAUUUGGAUGACUUAGGGCAUUUCAAACUCAACCCGUAUAUCAUAAUUCCUUCAAAACGCUCCUCCCAUAGUCCCUGGUUCAGUAAAGGGUAUCUUAACAUCUACCCAGUUCAUGCCAGAAACCUAGCACACCUCCAACACACAGCAGAAUCACCUACAUCUGUCUGCUCCCUGGAAAAUUGGAUUUGUGACCUCUCUCUGUUCCCAUGACCAUUUUUUCAUUCCCAUUCUAGUCUAAACCACUGUUGCCUCUUGCUUGAAGUCCCACAGUAACCCAUUCAGGUCCUCCAAAACUGCUCUUGCCUCGUUCCAAUACAUUUGCCAUACUGCUGCCAGAGUAAUUUUUUAAAUAUAAAUCUGAUCAUUGACCUGCUUAAAUUCCUCCAGUGGUCUCCCUUUGCUUACCACACAUUGUCUAAGCUCCAUUAUCUGUACUUGUCUUUCUCUCCAGCCUCUCCAUCUGUCCCCCUAGCUGCCUGCACUCCUGCCAUAGUAUUUUAAUUUUUUCCAGGCUCUCCUCUUUUUAUUCCCUACUGUAGGCUCUCACUUCAGGGCAUUUACACAUGCCCUUCCCUUCCCCUGGAAUUUUUUUCUGUCACCCAUUCCUCCUACUUAACUGUAACUUAUCACUUUCUUUUCCAAUUCCUACUUCUCAUUAUUUGUUUAGUGUCCAUGUAAUUGUGCAGGUAAGGACCACGUCUGUCUUGUUCACUACCAGCUUUUCCUCUCCCUAGCAACAGCACAAUGUCUAGAAUAUAGUGGUACUUGUUAGGUAUUUAUCGAAUAAAUAGUGAAUUUCUGAGUGGUCCCGGGCAAAGUUUUCUCAACAUUUGAAUUCAAAUCCUGGCUCUCAGUGAGUUCAGGUUGCCGUAGUAAAGUACCAUAUAGACUGGUGGCUUAUAAACAACAGAAAUGUAUUUCUCAUAGCUCUGGAGGCUGGAUAUCUGAAAUCAGGCUGCCAACAUGGUCAGGUUCUGGUGAAGGCCCUCUUCAGGGUUGUAGAUGGCUGUUUUUUCCCUUUACCUCACAAUGCAGAAAGAGAGCAAGAGCUCUCGGGUUGCUUUUAUAAGGCACUAAUCCCAUUCACAAGGGGUUUACCUCCCAAAGGCCUCAUCUCCUAAUACCAUCACAUUGAGGGUGAAGAUUUCAAAAAUACGAAUUUGCAGGAGACAGGGGUGGGGGUGAAUUCAUUGCACUGGCUCAGCCACUUAUUAGCUAAUGACUUUGGGCAAAUUGUUCACUCUUGUGCCUCAGUUUUCCCAUCUGUAAAAUAAAGAUGAUAAUAGCACCUCAUAGUGUUAUUGUAAUGAUUACGUGACAUAAUACAUGUGAAGUAUACUUGGAACAAUGUUAGGAAAAAUGUUGCCUAUUACUAGCUUUUACUUGGAUAGCUUAUCCUCGUGUCAAAUACGUUUUCAAAAUUGAGUUCAUCUUCCUGCUCUUCUUACCGUGGCUCUAUACAUGAUAUCAAAAAACUUUGGAAUUAUUUACUCAUAACCUAUAAUUAUCACCCACCAAAUAUGGUGAGUUUUUAUUUAAAAAUGUCCUCAUAUUCAUUCUUCCUUUUUAUAUACACUAACCUUCAUUUAGACUCUAUUAUCAUUGAUUAUUUUGCUAACUUCCUAGGUGUCUUCUAACUGGAGGCUAGCUUUCCCUAUUCAUUUGGGCCCUUACUGUCAGACCAGUGGGCCUCAAACAAUUAUUAAAACAUAUAUUCUUCUUGACUUCUGCUCAAAUGACCUCCGUUCCCACCUAACUUUGUUCAUUCAUUUAUUCAAUCAUCCAUUCAUUCCAAUGCAAGUUAUUUUACUACUAACAUUUUGGGUAUACUCUAGAUUUUCAGCCUCUCUACUUUGACAUUUCUCUCUUGGAUAUUCUCUCUUCGGAUAUACUCUAGCAUUUUCAAUCUCACUAUCUGACAUUUCUCCUUUCAGCAUCCAAGUUUUGUCUCUGGGAUUUGGAAGCCACCUGCAUUUUAAAAGAAAUUUUUUCCAGGAUCAGUCUCUCGCUGUGUUGCUCAGGCUGAAGUGCAGUGGCUGUACACAGGAGCGGUCAUCGCAUGUGACAGCCCCACACCCCUGGGCUCAAGUGACUCUCUUGCCCUCAGCCUCCUGAGUAGCUGGGACUACAGGUGAUCCCCCAUUUUUGACUCAGUUUUCCAAUUGCAAAAUGUGGUCAAUAUCAGGGAGAUGAAAGAGGAGCACACAUGGAUGUAACUUGAUAGAGUAUAAGAAAAGUAUCUUGAAAGAGGUCCAGAAUAGGGGGAAGGUCCCAUAAGAUGAUUAUAAAAGGCUUCAAAGAGAAAGUAGUAUUUGAGAGCUUUUCUAUAAUCACAACUUCCUCUUCCUGUUAUUUUUUGCUCAUUUCUGCUGUCGAAUAUAAUUUUCACCCUCACUGUGAGCUCAAGUUCCAUGAACCCUGCCUGCCCUAGUUCAUCACCUCCUGUGAUUUGCUUUCCUACCUAACCCCAAGACCAUGGUGACCUAUUUCAUUUAUUCUAAAAAUAUCUGUGGAGCACCUCCUUUGUGCCAGGCAUUCUUCUAGAGACUGGGGAAAUUAUGAAUAAAACAGAUUGUCUUUCCUCUCAAAUGUCCUAACAUUUUCAACUUCUCUACUUGGGAGGUAAACCCCUUGUGAAUGGGAUUAGUGCCUUAAAGCAAGGAGGGGGAUAUAUUAUGGGUUUCUUUCUUAUUUGGUAAGAUUUCCUAUAGUCUUAAUAUAAUAGAUAGCAAUAAAUAAAUACUUCUGGGUGAGGAAUUAAUUGAAAUCCUCAGUAUCCCUCUAUUUAUAAUGGCUAAAAAAAUGUGAAUGACCCAAAUGUCCCCAUUACUGAAUAGAUAACCACUUAAUUUGUUUUUGUCUCUUUUAUAUACAUGUACCACUCUUAACUCUUAUAACUAUACUUAUUCAUUUCAUGUAUACUUACAUAUAUUCUUUAUUGAACCAUGAACUCUCUAAAGGCAAAGUUGUGUUUUGUUGAACUUGUAUCCUAGUAACUGUCAUGUAAUAGUAGGUGCUCAGCAGUGUCUGUUGAAUGAAAGAGUGAAUGAAUGGUAACAGUUUCUCCAGCACUGGCCAAGGGAGUGUGCUCUACCCUGCUGAUUCAAGCAUCAGAUCUACUCAGAAAUUCUUCCCCUGCUGAGAAGAAGGGGAUGCUGAGACUCUUCACAGUUGAAAUCAAUGUGAAAGGAGCUGUUAUCAAUGCUCACUAAGUAAUCCUGUGGUUUUAUUUUAUUAUUUAUUAUUUAUUUGUUUAGUAUUUUUGAGACAAGAUCUCACUCUGUUGCUCAGGCUGGAGUGCACUGGUGCGAUCAUGGCUCACUGCAGCCUCUAUCUCCUGGCUGAAGCAAUCCUCCCACCUCAGCCUCCUGAGUAGCUGGGAUGACAGGCACACACCAUCAUGUCCAGCUAAUAUUUUUAAAUUUAUUUUUUGUAGAGACGGGUCUCCCUGUGUUGCUUAGGCUCGUCUCAAACUCCUGGGCUCAAGCAGUCCUCCCACCUCAGCCUCCCAAAGUGCUAUGAUUACAGGCAUGAGCUUACCACACCCAGCUGUGAUUUUAAUUUGACUUUCCAGAUAGAAAAGAAAGCACUAAUCUCUUCACAACUAUUUCUGGUCUGUUUACCAGUUACAUUUCCCCCAUGCAAAUUAAUGUAUUGUAUCUUAAAACUGAUUUUAAAAACCAGAAAAACAAAACAAAAAAAAUUUUGGCUUUUACUUCCCCUUCCAGCUACUGUCCCAUUUGUUUUUGUUCUCCUUUACUAUAAAAUCCUUGAAAGAGUUCUAUAUUCACUGCCCCAAUUCCUUUUCUCCUGUUUUCUAUUAAAACUAUUUUAACUACCUCUUGCCCCCAGCAUUCCACUGAAAUUACUCUCCAAUUACUUUGUUAUUUUGUUAGUUAAUCCAAUAGCCAGUUCUUUGUCUCUAUCCUUGACCUAUCAGCAUUUGCCAUAGUUGAUUACUCCCUCCUCCCUUUAACACUUUCUCCACUUAGUUUAUAGGAUACUUCAGUCUCCUGGUUUUAGUCCUACACUACUAGUCACUGUUCUCAAACUCCUGCUCAUGACCUCUUAAUAUUGGAGUGUCCCAGGCCUCUGCCUUGGAAUUUUUUUCUUCUGUUCCUACCCCCUUUCCUAUAGUGCUCUCAUUCAGUCUUCUGUCUUUACAUGUAAAUAUGCUCACAACUCCCAAGUCUUAAACCCAAACUUGUAUUCCAAGUACCUCAGCAUCUUUACUUGUAUAUUUAAUAGACCUCUUCAUUUGAUCAUAUCCAAAACAAAACUCAGCAUACCCCUUCCCCUCAAAAACUUUCUCUACCUACAACCUUCUUUAUCUCAGUUAUUGGCAACUCCAUCAUUUGAUUGCUGAGGCCAACUCAGCAACUCUUUUAUAUCCCACAUUCAGUUUGUCAUCAAAGCCUAUUGCUCUCUCUUCAAAAUAUAUGACCACUCUCCCCAACUCCACUGAUAGCAGCUUGGUCCAAACUACUGUCAUCAUUGACUAGAAUUUUGUAUUAGCUACCCUUAACAUUCAUUCUAUUCUCAACACAGCAGCCAGAGUGAUACCUUUAAAAUAUAGAGCAGACCAUAUUAAGACUGUUCAAAACUUUCUAAAAGCUUCCUAUCUCACUCAGAGUAAAAGCACUUAUUUUUACAAUUAGUCCCUGUACACCCCCUUACCUCUCUGGUCUUAGUUCCUUCUGUUAUUCCCCUCCAUUCUCUGUUCAGUCACAUUGGCGGCCUCCUUGCUGUUUCUCAAACACUUUGAACACACUUUCUCCCAAGAGACUUUGCCCUUGCUAUUUCCUCUGCUCUGAAUGCUUCUCCCAGAUAUCCAUGUCUUCCUUGACUCCUCAUGUCUUUGCUCAAAUGCUCCUGUUUCUGUGAGGCCUUUCCUUACUACUCUGGUGGAAAUUGAUCACCGAACAACCACCUCUUUGCUCUUUUGCUCUCCCUAUUUUCCUUUACUACUUAUUUUUCUCCAUUGCACAUAUCACUUUCUCUGUGCUAUAUAUUAACUUAUUUAUUGUGUUUAUUGUCUGCCCCCUCUAGGGCAGGGACUUUUGUCCCUUUUUUUUUCGCUGCUGUAUCCUUAACAUCUAGAAGAGUACCUGGUACACAGCUGGGACUCAAAUAUUUGUUGAAUGAAUGCAAUUGAAAUUUUGGAUGUAAUCUCCUGGAUUAGCAUAAGCAGGUCUUUCUUAGACUGAUCACCUGUAGGUGCAUCUAUAAAUAUUGAGCUUCUGUAUUACAGCCUGAAUCAUGGUGGCUCCACCAAGCUAACAGCUUCUUGUGGUGCCCAAUUUCUAUGUGGCUACACUCUGCCAUUUCUGUCUGGGUUCCUUAUAACCUUAAAGAGACGAAGACCUCUUUGAAGCUUUCUGGUCUUCCCAUGUCACAGAGUCGGAACUGGAGAACUGAUCAGCAAGAUUCUGGUAGCUUGUAAUUAGCAUUUCAAGGGCCAAAUGGUAGGAUACUAGUGCUGCUGCAUGCUCCAUCUUCUCUGCAACUGAAAGCAAUACCAUGUAAACAUGUCAGGUGGUCUCUUAUUAUCUUAGAAAUUGCAAAAAGUCCAGUGGCUGGCACUAAAACCAGGAACAGUAACAAGCAAAGAUUUAUUGGCUGGGUAUGGUGGCUCAAGCCUGUAAUCUCAGCACUUUGGGAGGCUGAGGCGGCCAGAUCAUGAGGUCAAGAGUUCGAGACCAGCCUGGCCAACAUGGUGAAACCCCGUCUCUACUGAAAAUACAAAAAUUAGCUGGGCGUGGUGGCACGUGCUUGCAGUCCGCAGCUACUUGGAAGGCUGAGGCAGGAGGAUCACUUCACCCGGGAGGCGAAGGUUGCACUGAGCCGAGAUCGUACCACUUGCACUCCAGCCUGGGCGACAGAGUGAGACUCUGUCUCAGGAAAAAAAAAAAAAAAAAGAUGUAUUGAGUGCUUGCUUUGUGCUGGCACUGUUCUAAACACCUUUUGAUAUAUUACCUAAUUUAAUCCUCACAACAACCCAGUGAGGGAAAUAUUAAUAUUAGGAACAUUUUACAGAUGAGUAAACUGAAACCAGAGAAGAAACGUGUCUGUGGUCUUAGAGCCAGUGAGUGUCAGAGUCAGAAUGUGAACCCAGGCACAUUCUGACAGGCUUUAGAGCCUGAACUCUUAACCAUUGUGUUCCACUGCCUGCUUACAGAAUGAAAAGGGGAGAAGAACUUUACCUUGAAAAGAAAGCAAAAUAACUAUGACUCCAUCACGGUAAUUCUGCCAUUCUAAAAGCACCUUCGUAACCAAGCACUUUCUUCUGGCAUCAACCCUGUUGCUGUUUCAUGCAUAAUACAAGAUUUAGGCUGACUGGCCUCCAAGGUACUUUGUCACUCUUUCUAGUCAAAGGAGUGGGCUCCUUGAAACACUCUGCCAAACCUUUCCCCUGUAUCUUUGCUUCACUAGCUCCUGCUCUUUAGCUGUGCUCUUAAGGGUGUGUCAUUAACUGUUGAGAGCCACACAUAACUCCCCAACACCAACACCCUAGUCUGGUUUAGGUCCCUGGACUCUACGUUUUUAUUUCCAUCAAAGCACCUAUCAUAAUUGUCAUUGUUUGGUGAAUUGUCUGUUUCCCUGCUGGACUAAUCUCUGUGAAGACAGAGAUUGUGUCUGUCUUAUUCAUUGCUGUACCCUUAAUACCUAUCAUGGUGUUUGGCAUGUUGGAGGAGUUUGAUAAAAUUUUUUUGAAUGUUCCAUCCAGACUUGGUAAAAAAAAAAUCUGAAUGAAUUUAAGUGAUAUUUCUAUAGCCUAUCUGCAAUUAUAUCCAGGUAUUAAGGUGAAUUUUCUUGUGGCUAGGCUAGCCUACCUUUUUAGAAAUGGAAGAGAUGGUUUUCUUUCAAUCUGCCUUCUAGCUGUUGGGUUUUCGUGUUAUGGAAUCACUGCCAGUGCCAAAAUGCUAAGUUUUCAAUUAGUGCCACUGUCUGCUUCAGAUACAGCUGACAUUCAACUGCUGUGUGAUGGAUGUUUUCCUAGGGUCUUUUACAUAUAUGUGCUAAUUUAAAUUCAGAUAACUUCUCUGGGUUUCAGGUUCCUCAGCUAUAGAACCAAGUUACCUAACUGACUUCCACAAGAUCAAACUUGUAAGUUUGAGAAUUGGGGUCUGAAUUUAGAACUUCCAAUUCUAACUUUAGCUUUUUUGUUCAUAUAUGAUGUUGCCUUCCUGUUCCCAAGAAUCCUAUUGAUUCUUCUCUGCUAGUCCACAGGUAGCACCAGAUUACUAAGUAACCUGCACAUUUCAUAAUCUUGUCAUAUGCAUUUCCUUUAAAAAAAACUUUCCCCCCUCUCAUUUUUUUUCUUUUUUCUACUUUUAUUUUCUUCCCAUUCCUAUUCUGCCUGCUUUCCAAAACAGUGACAGAGUUUAUGAAAACAUUUCUGAGGCCUGUUCUAGCUUCUUUUCUUUUUUCUUUUUUUUUUUUUUUUUUGAGAUGGAGUCUCGCUGUUGCCCAGGCUGGAGUGCCGUAGCGUGAUCUCUGCUCACUGUAACCUCUACCCGCCAGAUUCAAAUAAUUCUCCUGCCUCAGCCUCCAGAGUAGCUGGGACUACAGGCAUGCACCACCACACCCAGCUAAUUUUUGCAUUUUUAAUAGAGAUGGGGUUUUGCCAUGUUGGCCAGGCUGGUCUUGAACUCCUGACUUCAGGUGAUCUGCCUGCCUCGGCCUUCCAAAGUGCUGGGAUUACAGGCUUGAGCCACCAUGCCUGGCCCUGUUCUAGUUUCAUAUGUGGAUUGAGGACUUUAGUGAGAUUUGAUUAUUUCUGUGCUGUUAUUAUAUCUAUAUCAGAAGUAGAUGUGAGAAGAGUCUCAAAGAUUGGAACGCAGGGCACAUACUAUUUGGGUUCCUGAUUAAACAAGAUGAUUGAACAAUGCUUUUUACUCUUUUCUUUCCUGAUACCCCACAGUAAAGAAUAAGAAAAGUAUAAAACCGGCCAGCGCAGUGGCUAACACUUGUAAUCCCAGCACUUUGGGAGGCCAAGGUGGGUGGAUCACCUGAGGUCAGGAGUUCGAGACCAGUCUGGGCAACAUGCUGAAACCCC
Molecule: long non-coding RNA, 8905 nt
Filed under: Homo sapiens (human)
Lineage: Eukaryota; Metazoa; Chordata; Mammalia; Primates; Hominidae
Description: non-protein coding lnc-KLF7-1:25
Source: RNAcentral